This is a long non-coding RNA of Magnolia sinica, 423 nucleotides long. RefSeq lists it as uncharacterized. The transcript has 3 exons. The record is from RefSeq and is a predicted model, not a curated record. Lineage: Eukaryota; Viridiplantae; Streptophyta; Magnoliopsida; Magnoliales; Magnoliaceae.
GUUAAAUACAAAUUCCUAAUUAGGGAUUUGCGUUGUAGAAUCCAUUUUUAGGGAUUUGCAUUGUCGAAUCCAUUUUUAGGGAUUUGCAUGGUCGAAUCCCUAAUUUAGAAGUGCUUAUUACAUCUGCAGAUUCUCGAAUCAGGGUUGUUGAUGGUGUUGAUCUGAUUCACAAGUUCAAAGGAAAUCUAGAUGGUGGAUUGUGAUUGAUGGAUGGCUUGGAAUAUUGGCACCUAUGCUGGCAUAGCUUAAUGGUGUGGACGAUCAACUGUCCUCUGUUUUGGGGAUCAGUAUAUACUGGGGUGGAUUUUUGUAAAAGGCUAUGUGGUGUCUCAGUUAUUAGAAGGUAGACUGUCAUAGUUUGUUGCGAGUUCUAUUAUCAGUAUUAUUUCCACCUUUUAAGUACUGAACAUGAAGAACAUCUUA